UAGGGAAUCUUCGGCAAUGGACGAAAGUCUGACCGAGCAACGCCGCGUGAGCGAUGAAGGUCUUCGGAUCGUAAAGCUCUGUUGUCAGAGAAGAACACGUGAUAGAGGAAAUGCUAUCAUCUUGACGGUAUCUGACCAGAAAGCCCCGGCUAACUACGUGCCAGCAGCCGCGGUAAUACGUAGGGGGCAAGCGUUGUCCGGAAUUAUUGGGCGUAAAGCGCGCGCAGGCGGCUUCUUAAGUCUGAUGUGAAAGCCCACGGCUCAACCGUGGAGGGUCAUUGGAAACUGGGAAGCUUGAGUGCAGAAGAGGAGAGUGGAAUUCCACGUGUAGCGGUGAAAUGCGUAGAUAUGUGGAGGAACACCAGUGGCGAAAGCGGCUCUCUGGUCUGUAACUGACGCUGAGGCGCGAAAGCGUGGGGAGCAAACA
Molecule: ribosomal RNA, 427 nt
Filed under: uncultured Pullulanibacillus sp.
Lineage: Bacteria; Bacillati; Bacillota; Bacilli; Caryophanales; Sporolactobacillaceae
Description: bacterial SSU rRNA
Rfam family: Bacterial small subunit ribosomal RNA
Source: RNAcentral